UACGAAGGGGGCUAGCGUUGCUCGGAAUCACUGGGCGUAAAGGGUGCGUAGGCGGGUUUUUAAGUCAGGGGUGAAAUCCUGGAGCUCAACUCCAGAACUGCCUUUGAUACUGAAGAUCUUGAGUCCGGGAGAGGUGAGUGGAACUGCGAGUGUAGAGGUGAAAUUCGUAGAUAUUCGCAAGAACACCAGUGGCGAAGGCGACUCAGUGGCCCGGAACUGACGCUGAGGCACGAAAGCGUGGGGAGCAAACAGG
Molecule: ribosomal RNA, 253 nt
Filed under: uncultured bacterium
Lineage: Bacteria
Description: partial 16S ribosomal RNA
Rfam family: Bacterial small subunit ribosomal RNA
Source: RNAcentral